UACGUAGGGUGCAAGCGUUGUCCGGAAUUACUGGGCGUAAAGAGCUCGUAGGCGGUCCGUCACGUCGGAUGUGAAAUUCCAGGGCUCAACCCUGGACCUGCAUUCGAUACGGGCGGACUAGAGUUCGGUAGGGGAGACUGGAAUUCCUGGUGUAGCGGUGAAAUGCGCAGAUAUCAGGAGGAACACCGGUGGCGAAGGCGGGUCUCUGGGCCGAUACUGACGCUGAGGAGCGAAAGCGUGGGGAGCGAACAGG
RNAcentral lists this ribosomal RNA (253 nucleotides) under uncultured bacterium. RNAcentral describes it as "partial 16S ribosomal RNA". It matches the Rfam family "Bacterial small subunit ribosomal RNA", at positions 524 to 776 of the family's 1533-position model. The record is from RNAcentral.